This 782-nucleotide long non-coding RNA is filed under the name Heterocephalus glaber (naked mole-rat). Its description in RNAcentral is "lncRNA (ENSHGLG00000046159.1)". Lineage: Eukaryota; Metazoa; Chordata; Mammalia; Rodentia; Bathyergidae. The record is from RNAcentral.
GUCGCUUUCCCCAGCGUCAUGAGGACAACCCUCCCUGCCCCUGCCCAGAGGAAGAGAGUAACAUGAAUACAAGUCGAAGCAUGGGCUGCGUUUCCAUCUUUCCCCUGCACAUGUAGACUCCUUAACAGAAAUAUGCCCUCAAGGAAUGACCAAAAGGGGAGGAGAAUGAUCCACAGACGACAGCAGCAUGCAGACCAGGAUUCCUAGAGGAAGCAAGGCCCUAAAGAUCAAACCCUGCAUAGAUGUUAGCUACCAUGAUAACGUCAUUGAUGGAAGACAGGAAAGAGAAUGGAAAGAAAUGAAGACCUGGAAAGAAGGGUCCCACUUAAGGAAAGCCAGAGAUUCCACAAGGCUUAUUGGACACGUGUACUCAGAAGAGCACUGGAAAUCCUUAGACCUGUUCUUCAGACCUUAAAGCAAGUCUCCCAGUACAACACAAGUGAAGAUAAUUCAUAAAAGCACUGUUUUCAGAGUUUGAGGGACAAGGAGAAAAAGCAUUGAGGGCAUGGUACUAAAUCUUGCCAAGAGCUUUCAGUACGUGCACCUCACAUGUUGAGAGGCCGUGAGAGUGAGUAGCACAGGCUCUGAAUUUACACUGCAGGUCUCUGUAGUUGUGCAAGCUUGGCCAAGUUCUUCUUCUUCUUUUUUUUUUUUCCUGGUACCGGGGAUCGAACUCAGGACCUUGUGCUUGGGAGGCAGGUGGUGGAACCACUGAGCUACAUCCCCGGGCCUUGGCCAAGUUCUUUAUCCUCUCUGGGACUCAGUUCCCUCCUCAGUGAACC